CCUACGGGAGGCAGCAGUGAGGAAUAUUGGUCAAUGGGCGAGAGCCUGAACCAGCCAAGUCGCGUGAAGGAUGACGGCCCUACGGGUUGUAAACUUCUUUUGUCAGGGAGCAAUUGGGUCCACGCGUGGGCUUAGCGAUAGUACCUGCAGAAAAAGCCUCGGCUAACUCCGUGCCAGCAGCCGCGGUAAUACGGAGGAUGCGUGCGUUAUCCGGCUUUAUUGGGUUAAAGGGGUGCGUAGGCGGAAUAUCAAGUCAGCGGUAAAAAUUCGGGGCUCAACCCCGUCGUGCCGUUGAAACUGAUGUUCUGGAGUGGGCGAGAAGUAUGCGGAAUGCGUGGUGUAGCGGUGAAAUGCAUAGAUAUCACGCAGAACUCCGAUUGCGAAGGCAGCAUACCGGCGCCCAACUGACGCUGAAGCACGAAAGCGUGGGUAUCGAACAGGAUUAGAUACCCCUGUAGUC
Molecule: ribosomal RNA, 460 nt
Filed under: uncultured bacterium
Lineage: Bacteria
Description: partial 16S ribosomal RNA
Rfam family: Bacterial small subunit ribosomal RNA
Source: RNAcentral